GCCAAAGAAGAGCUUACACAACCACAAAUAUGGGAAACUAUUGUUGAUGUGAUUUAGGUGUACUGACAUCACAGUCAAAGUGCAUACAUAUUAUAGAAAAUGCUCUAGAAAGAAUUUAAGAAACAAUAUUGCCAUGGUCUUUCUGUGAAAGUGCAAGCACCAGGUUGCUUAAUAGCAGAACAUUUGCACCACCUGUAGUUCCUUUUAUUUUUUUCUUACAUCUUUCAUAGUUGUGAGUCAUCUUCCUGCAAGGAAUGCUUAUAAGAACUACCUACUUGAAUUUUAUUUUGUCUUGCCAUGCGAUAUUAGCUGUUUUUGUUACCUAUAAUUUGCUAACCUCUACCAUUUACAAGGCUUCAAUAUGUUACAGCGGACUGGCACAGGAAUAAAAAAAAUGUCACUCAGUCUUUCACUGUUACCUUAUUUUGUGACAUAUUCUAUCCCUGUUCUUGGUAAAUUUGCCAUGUCGCUUGAGAAAACUAAUCUGUCAGCAUAACUUAAGUCAUGUUUUUUUCCUUUGUCUUCUUAAAUUUGCUGCUGUUAAAUGUCGUGUCGGAUAGCUGUCUCACGAAUUAAGAAUUGCUGACUUAUUUUGUUGUUUAAAAAAGCUAUUUUAAUAAAGGAAACGUUAUGGCUGUUUACUUUAUUACUUACAUUAACUACUUAAUCUGCUUACAAUUUACAGCUGCUAAACUUGUGUGAAUUCAAGAUGUUUUAUGAAGUUGCUCUACAGGGUGAUCAUUUUUAAAUUUUAUAAAAUUUUUAGAAAUAGCUUGCUGUAGAUUACAUAAUUCUAGUCCUUGAGUUUGGAUUAUUCAGAGAGGCGGACAUUACUUGCACGAGAAAUUGAAACACAUAUUGACCUAAUCAAUGAAAAUCACUAAUCACCUACUUAAUUAAUUACUUUACGGUACAUAUUGCAAUUUACAAAUUUUAAUCGGUGAGCAUGCAAGGCAUAUCCUCACGGAAUAAAUUUCCAGAAUGACACCAAUUUGGAGAUAUGCGCCAUUGGACUCGCUGUAAAAAAUGCACUCUUGUUCCACUUACUUUUUUAACAGCACAUUCUUUCAUGCAUUGAAGCUCAAAACUAACUGGAAUGCCCUUGUAUUUCAUCCCAUACUUUGGGAAAUAAUAUCUCGAAACUGGUGCAAUCCUGGAAAUUCAUUUCAAGUGGAUACGUAUUACAAACUCACCAGCUACAAUGCGUAAAUUGCAAUAUGUGCCGUAAAGUAAUUUGUAAAGAAGUUAAUUAGUAAAUUUAUGUUAAUUAAUUGAAUAUGUAUUUUGUUUUUUUGCGCUAGUAAUGCCCGCCUCUGAAUAAUACUGCUCAAGGACAAAAAUUUUGCUAUCUGCCGCAGGCGAAUUUUAAGAAUUUCAUAAAACUUAAAAAUGAUCACCCUGUAUAUUACUGAGAAGGCUGUUUUCAUCUUUUCAUUGUUAACUAGCCAUAAUUCUAUGUCUGCAGUGAAUAGACAAGUACAGUUGGCCGGCAAGCUUGAGUGUUUUGGUUCCUGUCACUCAAAUAGCAGCUGUCAGCAUGCAAGUGCAAAGCAUUGUGACAGUUUGUUCUCAGCUGCACUGUUACGUACUACUUUUAGUCUUCCAUGAACACGUGUGAUGUUGCUGUUUUAUUAGUCCUAAAAAUAAAUUAUUUGCCGUUUCUUGGUAUUUCUUUGCUUCACUGCCGGAGUUUGACAUUUCACUACAACGUGAAAUGCAGUCCCCAUGCUUUUGGUGCAGGCAGUGUUUUCACACCUGCUGUGCUAAGCAUACAUACUAUGAUUCAGUUGUAGGACAUGGUGGAAACCAAGCAUGCUUACUCAACACUGACUGCUUUUCAGUACUUCUCAUUUUUACAACGUUAUUACUGCUUCUCUAUGGCAACUAGUGCUUUGAGACAAUAUUUGACAUUGCAUCGCCUUUGAUCUCGGCCCAUUCUGCCCAGUGCACUACAUUUGGGAUAAGCCUAUGUUGUACAGAACAGGCUGUAACAUUUCUUCGUCAGAGUACAAUAAAUCAGUCAUCAUGCUAUCGUC
This 2036-nucleotide long non-coding RNA is filed under the name Dermacentor andersoni. RNAcentral's name for it is "uncharacterized LOC126548487". The record is from RNAcentral. Lineage: Eukaryota; Metazoa; Arthropoda; Arachnida; Ixodida; Ixodidae.